UUCUUCUUCUCCUCCUUUUGGUCUUUGUUGUUGGGUUGUUCUCUUCGGGAAUGGUCGAUCCACUCAUGAACGUCAAGAUUGCAAACAACUCUAUCUUCAAGGUUUCUAGCUUCCAAAUGAAGGCGAGAAAACUGGCACUUGACGUUGAUUAUGAUGACCCUAGAGCCAAUAACCGGCAUGACCGCAAGAAGCCCGGCAAUGGAAAGCCUUGACAUAGCCUCACCUAGGCUUAUGAGCUCAAUAAUAACAAUAUCUUUUAGCUUUACUUUAGUUCAACACGUCUAAUGAAAAUACUUUAAGUAAUUAAGUUAUGUUUAGAAUAACAAGUUUCCGUCAUUACUAAUAUAUUUGUUAUGGAACGAGAAUGUAUAUUAGCUUUAUCAAAUGGGAUAGACCUUUUGUAAUAAAGCCUAAAUCAAUGGAUACAGUCAUC
Long non-coding RNA from Cucurbita pepo subsp. pepo (vegetable marrow), 433 nucleotides. RefSeq lists it as uncharacterized. The record is from RefSeq and is a predicted model, not a curated record. NCBI's taxonomy places the organism in Eukaryota, Viridiplantae, Streptophyta, Magnoliopsida, Cucurbitales, Cucurbitaceae.